RNAcentral lists this ribosomal RNA (540 nucleotides) under bacterium enrichment culture. RNAcentral's name for it is "bacterial SSU rRNA". It matches the Rfam family "Bacterial small subunit ribosomal RNA", at positions 369 to 896 of the family's 1533-position model. The record is from RNAcentral.
AAAUGAGGGGGACGCAGGUGAUGCAGCCAUGCCGCGUGAGUGAAGAAGGCCUUCGGGUUGUAAAGCUCUUUCAGCCGGGAAGAAAUCGCAUGGGCUAGUACCCUGUGCUGGAUGACGAGUCCGGAAUAACAACCACCGGCAUACUACGUGCCAGCAGCCGCGGUAGUACUUAUGGUGCGAGCGUUAGUCGGAAUUACUGGGCGUAAGGCGUGCGCAGGCGGUUUUUUAAGAUAGGCGUGAGAUCCCCGGGCUCAACCUGGGAACUGCGCUUAAGACUGGAAGACUAGAGUAUGGCACAGGGGGGUGGAAUUCCACGUGUAGCAAUGAAAUGCGUAAAGAUGUGGAGGAACACCGAUGGCGAAGGCGACCCCCUGGGCCGAGACUGACGCUCAUGCACGAAAGCGUGGGGAGCAAACAGGAUUAGAUACCCUGGUAGUCCACGCCCUAAACGAUGUCAACUAGGUGUUGGGUGGGUAAAACCAUUUAGUACCGUAGCUAACGCGUGAAGUUGACCGCCUGGGGAGUACGGCCGCAGGGUUA